Molecule: ribosomal RNA, 477 nt
Filed under: uncultured bacterium
Lineage: Bacteria
Description: partial 16S ribosomal RNA
Rfam family: Bacterial small subunit ribosomal RNA
Source: RNAcentral
AUUGAACGCUGGCGGCAUGCCUUACACAUGCAAGCCGAACGGUAACAGGUUAAGCUGACGAGUGGCGAGCGGGUGAGUAAUGUAUCGGAACGUGCCCAGUCGUGGGGGAUAACUGCUCGAAAGAGCAGCUAAUACCGCAUACGACCUGAGGGUGAAAGCGGGGGAUCGCAAGACCUCGCGCGAUUGGAGCGGCCGAUAUCAGAUUAGGUAGUUGGUGAGGUAAAGGCUCACCAAGCCGACGAUCUGUAGCUGGUCUGAGAGGACGACCAGCCACACUGGGACUGAGACACGGCCCAGACUCCUACGGGAGGCAGCAGUGGGGAAUUUUGGACAAUGGGCGCAAGCCUGAUCCAGCCAUGCCGCGUGCGGGAAGAAGGCCUUCGGGUUGUAAACCGCUUUUGUCAGGGAAGAAAAGGUUCUGGCUAAUACCUGGGACUCAUGACGGUACCUGAAGAAUAAGCACCGGCUAACUACGUG